Molecule: long non-coding RNA, 5082 nt
Filed under: Sus scrofa (pig)
Lineage: Eukaryota; Metazoa; Chordata; Mammalia; Artiodactyla; Suidae
Description: lncRNA (ENSSSCG00050070730.1)
Source: RNAcentral
UUUCUGUCUCAAAGAUAUGUCCAUUGAUGUGAGUGGGGUGUUGAAGUCUUCUACUAUUAUUUUAUUCCCAUAAAUUUCUCCCUUUAUGUCUUUUAGCACUUGUUUUAUAUAUUUGGGUACUUCUACAUUGGGUGCAUAUAUGCUGAUGGGUGUAAUAUCCUCUCCUUUGUAUUGAUCCUUUUAACAUGUAGUAUCCUUCUUUAUCUUUCUUUAUGGCCUAUGUUUUAAAGUCUAUUUUGUCUGAUACUCGUAUUGCAACCCCUCCAUUUUCUUGUCAGUUCUGUUUGGAUGAAAUAUCUUUUUCCAUCCCCUCACUUUCAAUCUAUUUGCGUCCUUUGCCCUAAAGUGGUCUCUUGUAAGUAACAUAUUGUAGACUAUUGUUUGUUUUUUUUAUCCAGUUGACCACUCUCUGUCUUUUGAAUGGAGCAUCUAGUCCUUUGACAUUUAAGGUAAUUAUUGAUAGAUAUGUAUUUAUUGCCAUUUUAAAAUUUGUUUUCUGGUUGAUUUUAUAUUUCUUCUUUGUUCAUUUUUCUUUUUGUCUUUCCUUUUGUGGUUUGAUGAUUGUCUUUUCAAUUAUGCUUGUUUUUUCUUCUUUUUGGUUCUUGUGAAUCUAUUGUAUGUUUUUGAUCUGUAGUUACCCCGUUUUUGACAGUGUUAAUCCAAUACUAUAUCUACUUGCUUUGGACUUAUAGUCAUAUAGUCUCAAACACAUUCUAAGAAAAAAAAUCUACACUUUCUCACUCUUCUCCCCAUUUUAUGAUUUUGAUGUCUUUUUUACAUCUUCAUGUUUAACCUUUUGCUAUUCAUUGAGGUUAUCAUUACUUUCAUAAAAAGCUUGUUUUAUUUUUUUAAACAUUUAUGCUGGCUUAUGAUUUACUUUUCAAUUGUUAUUUUCUCUUUCCUAUUGAUUCUUAAUUCUUUUCUAUUUAGAGAAGACUUUUCAAUAUUUCUUUUAGGAUAGGUUUAGUAUUGCUAUAUGUUUUCAGUUUUUGUUUGUCUCAGAAAUUCUUUAUCUGUCCGUCUAUGCUAAAUGAUAAUCUUUCUGAGUACAGUAUCUUGCAUUGCAGAUUUUCCCUGUUAGGACUUUGAAUGAUGUUCUCUCUCCUUCAUGGCCUGCAGUGUUUCUGUAGAGAAAUCAGCUGAUAGUCUAUGGGAGUUCCCUUGUAAUGAACUCUUUCUCUUGCUGGCUUUAGAAUCUUCUCUUAAUCUUUCACUUUUGCCAUUUUAAUCUUAUCUUGGUAUAGGCAUCCUUAGGUUCAUAUUGUUAGUUUUCAGCCAUAAUUACUUAAAAUACAUUUUUAAUCCUCUCUUCUCUUUAUUCUUCUUGGAUUCCCUAUUAUGGAUAGAUUGGUAUGCUUUAUAUUUUCCCAUAGAUCUCUCAUAUUGCUUUCUUUUUUUAAUGUGGUUUUCUUUCUACUGUUCUGACUGGUUAAUUUCCACUAUUUUAUCUUCCAGAUCACUUGUUCUUCUGCAUUAUUCAAUCUGCUGUUUAUUGCCUUUAGCUCAGCUAUCAUCUUGACAAAUGAGUUUUCUAAUUUUUCUUACAUCUUCCUUAUAGGUUCUAGUUCCUUUUUAUAGUAAUCUCUCAUUCCAUCAAUAGCCUUUGUUAACUGGUUCAGUAUUUUCAUUAUCUCCUUUUUGAAUUCAGUAUCUACUAGAGUGAAGAAGUCUGUCUCAUUGUUCUUUCAGGGGAUUUCUCUUGAUCUUCAAUUAAGAGUGGUUCCUCUGCUUCAUUUUACUUAUAUCACAGGUUAUGUUAUCAGCGUGUGCACAGUUCUUUGACUGAUUAAUUGUGAGGUACCAAGGUGGUUUCACAGGUUAACAUUAUCAAUCUUCAGAAUCCAGUGGAAGUUCUCUUGUGGUGGAGCUGGCUAAGGAUAUGGCAUUGUCGCUGCUGAGGCACAGGUUUGAUUCCUGGCCCAGGAAAUUCCAUGUGCCAUGGGUGUGGCCAAAUAAAAAGUUCAGGCUCCAGUAGGUCUGGGAGCUGUGUGCUCAUGGUCUUCUAUUUGAUGGAGGUUAUAUCAUCUGUAAAACAACUCAGGAAAUAUGCACCAGAUACUUCAGAGAGGAGAUACAGCAGAAGAUAUGGAGGAGGGGUCUGCCCCAGGAUGGCUCCAGAGGGUCCUGCUUGGUUACAUUCCUCCAGACUCAGGCAGGUUAGUGUUCCUGUGGUUCUCAGAGUGAGCACAGGAUGUAGAGUGGGGCUGACUUUUCUUGCUUGCUACCUUUGGUCUUAUGAUGGCUUGUCACAUCUAACAGCUUUGUUUGAGAGGGUGCUGAGGACAAGAACAGCAUGGUGGGCUUAACUGACCCCUUACUUCCCUGGUGGCAGAGAAUCCCUCUAUGCCAGAACUGGCAAUGAUUGAUCAGGUUAUUUGCCACUGGCCCCAAGGACAGAAACUCACUGCUGACAGGUAUGGAGAGUCCAAAGCAACCUGAAUGUUGAGGGAACAUAACAUGAGCAAGCAAGAAAAGUAAAAUCAGAAUACAUUUAAGAAGACCUCUGACAAAAAGAAAAAAAAAAGGCAAUUAGAUCAUGUAGAACAAAGUAUUUCCUUGAGGAAGAAGUGAAGACACAAAAGAAUAAAAAGUAAAUCUUGCAGAGAUAAUAUUAGAGUUUCAGGAGUUCCUGUUGUGGCUCAGCAGCAAACGAAUCUAACUAGUAUCCAUGAUGAUGCAAGUUCAAUCCCUGGCCUCACUCAGUGGGUUAAGAUCCAGCAUUGCCAUGAGCUAUGGUGUAGGUCACAGAUGCAGUUUGGAUCCUGCUUUACUGUUGCUGUGCUGUAAGCCAGAAGCUACAGCUCUGAUUUGAUCCCUAGCCUGGGAAAUUCCAUAUGCCAUGGAGCCCUAAAAAGCAAAAAAAAAAAAAAAAAGAAAAGAAAAGAAAAUAGAGUUUCUGGAAAAAAUAUGUGCACAUAAUUUAAUUAAUCUUAAUAUAUUUGUCAUGGUUAUUUAAAUUUUAUAAUCAUUAAUUAAAAUAAUAUACUUAGCACAUGAUAUGUACAAUAAGGAGUUAAAAUUUCAAUGGACAAACUCAUAAAGAAGAUGGUCAUAGCUGAGAAUAGGUUUACCUGAAAAUAAAAAUCUGGAAUACAGAGGAAAAACACAAAGAGCUGGAGGGGAUAGAGGGACAAGGGGAAGAUGGCUCAGGAUGCAUGUGGAUAAACCAUCUCUAUUCAAGUUCCCUUCUCCCAUCAUGCCUCCUGUGACAAUGCUUCUGGUUAGGAAAACAAUGGUUGAUGAACAUGAAGCUAGGGGAGUCAGAGGCCAAAAAGCUGCCUCAAGGCUUCAUGUCUCCCUUUCUCCCUUGUAAAUAUAACCCAGAUUAUUAUUUUUUUUCUUUCUUCUUUUCCAGACUAGGGGUUGAAUCAGAGCUAUAGCUGCUGGCCUAUGCCACAGCCACAGAAACAGCAAUGACAGAUUCCCACCCACUGAGUGAUGGCAGGAAUUGAACCCACAUCCUCAUGGAUACUAGUCAGAUUCGUUUCCACUGUGCCACAAUGGAAACUCCCUAACUGUUUUUAAUAAUAAAAAUUUCACAAAAAACUCAUAUCUAAAAAGUAAACAUUCAAAGAUAUUUAAACUGAGGAAAAUCAUGGAAAUAAUUAACUUCACCAUACCAAAAAAAUUUUACAUUUUUUUCCAAAAGUGAUGACAUAGUACAAGAAAUUGGACAUGAAAGACUAUUAUUCUAGUUGGUAAAAUUCUAUUACUUUUUGAGUCAAACACACAACCUAACAGUGCUGUGUCCACCAGGCAUGUCUCUCUGAACAGCUUAAAAUAAACUUCCAAAGAUUUGUGUCCAUACUAAAUUUCUAAAAACUAAGGUAUAUUUUCCCCACUGACCCUCUUCACUUUUAACUGGCAAUGCUUUCCUCUCAAAAACAUUGAUUCCAAGUCUUAGUAAGAAUGAAAAUAUAAGAUUGAACACAGAUAAAAAAGAAGGAUUUUGAAAAGUGGAUAUGAGUAAUAUUUUUAGCACUUUCUAUAAUAAAGCACAAACCACACUGAACCCAAAUCAAUAAGACUUGGAGCCGAGUUCCAGUCAUGUGUCAGUGGUUAGCAAACCUGACUAGUAUCCAUGAGGACAUAGGUUUGAUCCCUGGCCUUGCUCGGUGGGUUUAGAAUUUGAUGUUGCUGUGAGCUGUGGUGUAGAUUGCAGACAAGGCUUGGAUGCUGCAUUGCUGUGGCUGUGGCAUAAGCUGGCAGCUACAGCUCCAAUUUAAUCCCUACCCUGGGAACUUCCAUAUGCCAUGGGUAUGGCCCCAAAAGACAAUAAAUAUAGAAUUAAAGACUUAUCUUGAUGAACAAGAGAGACACAGAGGUCUCAGCACUGUUUAUAAUUUCUACAGGUAAAGAAGAGAGAAAUUUAUUCCUUUCUGGUAUGAAAGAAUCCAUCUACUAUCGUAUUUAUUUCUAAAAUCCUACCAUUAUAAAUCAAAGCCCAGCAUUAAUACUUCCUAAUCCACUACUUUUGACAGGGCGUUUACCUAGAGUUUUUGUGCUUAUAAGGAUCCUUAUCUUUAAUUUAUUUGUAAAAUUCCUGUCUUCUUCCAUGCUUGAUUACCAUUGAAGUUGAAUAAACAGCUACAGAUGAUAUUCUGGCCAGAAGAAAAUGAUCAGAAGCACCAUUCACUAGCUUGCUGGGUAUAGUCAGGAGUUUAAACACAGGUAUACACAUGUGCUUCACAAGGUGAGUUCUAGAAUUCCUGCUGGUUGCUGAAAAGCCAUCAAGUGGCUCAUAAUCAGAUACAUUUUUUGGAGCAAAGGUCAUAAAUUAUUUGUGGAGAAGGCACUGAAGAAUUUUGGAAACAAUGUUUUCAAUCACCAAACCAAGGUAGACAAGAGUCUUGGCAGUAAGAGCUGUUGAUAUUAUUGGCCUGCCUCACACACACUGUUAUUUAAGUCUUACAAUAUGCUUUUCUGAGAACUCCUGAGUAAGCCCAUUUAUGAAAUGUGACUUCCUCAAAGGUGUGAAAGGAUUCUAUCGUGCAGGUUGUAUUUGUAAUCUCAGCAUCCCCUGGAACCUGGCACACAGUAAAUGUUCACAAAGUGUUUCUGAUUGAAAGUGUGCUGCAUUUG